AGUGAACGCUGGCGGUAGGCCUAACACAUGCAAGUCGAACGGCAGCACAGUAAGAGUUUGCUCUUACGGGUGGCGAGUGGCGGACGGGUGAGGUAUACAUCGGAACCUACUUUUUCGUGGGGGAUAACGCAGGGAAACUUACGCUAAUACCGCAUACGACCUACGGGUGAAAGCAGGGGAUCUUCGGACCUUGCGCGAUUGAAUGAGCCGAUGCCGGAUUAGAUAGUUGGCGGGCUAAAUGCCCACCAAGGCGAGGAUCCGUAGCUGGUCUGAGAGGAUGGUCACCCGCACUGGAGCUGGGACGGCGUCAAGAGGACUGAGAGAGGGAGCAGUGGGGAAUAGUGGGCAGUGGGCGAGAGCCUGAUCCAGCCAUCGGACGUGGGUGAAAGCGGCCUUGGGGUUGUAAAGACCUUUUGUUGGGAGAGAAAAGCAGUAGGUUAAUACCCCGCUGUUGUGACGGUAACCAAAGAAUAAGCACCGGCUAACUUCGUG
This 492-nucleotide ribosomal RNA is filed under the name uncultured bacterium. RNAcentral describes it as "partial 16S ribosomal RNA". It matches the Rfam family "Bacterial small subunit ribosomal RNA", at positions 29 to 507 of the family's 1533-position model. The record is from RNAcentral.